AUCCAGCUGGUGAGUCUCAAAUAAGACGAAAUGCGCAUCCUGGAU
This 45-nucleotide non-coding RNA is filed under the name Schistosoma mansoni. The record is from RNAcentral. Lineage: Eukaryota; Metazoa; Platyhelminthes; Trematoda; Strigeidida; Schistosomatidae.